GGGGGAAGGCUUAACCCAUUCAUAAACAUAGCAGUUUCUCUGAAACUGCUAUAAUUAUGAAAAAAUGGGUUAAGCCUAGAAGGACCUGGCACCCAGACCACUUCAUUAAGCUGAAGUGGUCUGGGUGCCUAGAGUGGUCCUUUAAGCUACUAAAAACAUGUUAUAUUGUUGUACAUCAUACACUGAUAUCUGAACAUAUGACUCUAAAUUAAUCAUUUUUGUUUCUUUGAAUAUUGAUCAUUCGGUUUAUGACAUUAAAUAAAAUGUAAAGUAACCUCUUAAGGGCAUGAUUAAAUAAUCCACCAUACCAAUCCAGCUUUUAAGGAUCCUAAAUCAAAUUGGAAUACCAAACUCAUUAAACAGUGGUAGCACCAUGUAGAGCGGCAAAAUUUGAAUUAAGCAACUAGCUUACACAAUUUAGGCAAACAUUUUGAAACUGGAAAAAAAAAUAUCCAAUUCUAUCAAGUUUCAAUUUUUUCCAACUUGGCUAAUUUUGCUUAAGUUACUGAAAUCAGUUGUUAACUUACUACAGCUCAUAUUUGUUAGCUCACUGCAAUGUAUGUCUAUAUAGGGCAAAGCAGGACCAUGCAAGACCGCACUUAAAGGAACACUGUAGGCACCCACACCAGUUCAGCUCAUUGAAGUGGGCUGGGUGCAAACUCCCAUCACCCUUAACCUCGCAGUAGUAAUUAUUGCAGUUUUUAUAAAUAGUUAUAACUCCUUCUUUAGUGGCUGUCUACCAGACAGCCAUUAGAGGGACUUGCGGAAUUGAAACUGACUUUUGGUCCGUUAUCUGAAGCUGAAUGUCCAUACGCUCUGCGUCAGAUUUUCCCCAUAGGAAAGGAUUGAAUAAUGCUUUCCUAUCGGCUCAUGCGCAUUAGGUCUCCCCCGGCCACCGAGGGCCAUCAGUGCUGGACCCAGGUAAGUGACAGAAGGGGUUAUUAACCCCUUCAGCGCUGCGGGAGGGGGCCUUGGCAGAUAGGGAAGCUAUAGUGUCAGGAAAACAAGUUUGUUUUUCUGGCACUAUAGUUUCCCUUUAAUGUCUGAGAAAACUCAUCUGAUGCUUUCAGCCAACGGGCAUACUCCUGCAUGGCCAUGCUUUGUUUUACAGAGACGGCUUCUUCUGCUUGACAAGACUUGAUGCAGCGAAUGCUGAACGAACGCCAGUUGGGAUCCAAGUAACUUGUUAAACCAUGCUAAAACGCUUUAACAUCUUAAUGUAGGACAGCACCAGGGUACUUCUGGCACCAAACCAUUAGAGCAGGCUAUAUUGGUUCUGGUGCUUGGAGUGUUAUUUAAGUGGUAAACCACACAAUUAUUGAAUAGCACAUAGAAGUAACAAAAAACAAUCAACGGCAUCACAACUGCGGAACCUCUAAGUCUAGUGUUUGAAAGUAAAAAUAAAUAAACAAUAGAACAAACAUUCCUAUAUGCCAUGUACAUAGCUAUUUAAGAGAGUCUAUACAUUUUAAAGCAGUUUUGCUAAUGCUUACAUCAGCCAGCCGUUAUGAAAACUGGAGAGUUUAAGUGCUGCAGCUUGAUUAAGAGGGCCAUACAUCUUUACUUUAGCAAUAACUUUAAUAUAAAAAACACAUUAAGUUAUUCAAUUUCAAAACUGAAAUAUUAUUUUUAGCAAGAAAAAUGUUGUAGCUGCAUUUCUAAGAGCCCCACUUUUAUUUGAGUUUGAUAAAUAACACUUACAUCAAUCUGUCUCAAUUAAACAUAACUUUUUAUCCUUUUGAAUAUACUCUAUUUAUUGUUAACACCUGUAGAAUAAUACGAACCAGCAAAAUCAAUAAAAGCAAUAUCCAGCCAUCUCCAAUGACACGAUCAAGAGACAAAACAAUUUAUCACAAAAACGAAAAUUUGAAAACCAUAAACAAAAUCAGUGUAAACAACACCGUGAACUUUUUCAUUUUUUUUUCUUAGUAUGAAUGUUUUUGAAGGAAAUUCCAUUUUCUGGAAGUAUACAUAUUUUCACGUACAUAUAGUAAAUCUAAAAAUGUUUCUCGACUGAGCAAUUCUCAGUAAUUUAGUAAUUAUAUUUUGUGAUGGUAAUAUGCACGCAUCUUCAUAAAAACUGUGUCUAAUAAAUUAUGCACAACAUCUUUUAGGAUUUUUUUUUAUGUUGAUUAUUUUUGUAAUUUUUUUACAUUUUUGGAUUUUUGCAAUCGUAUUUUUGGAAUCGUAUAAAAACUCAUCAAUUGCCAAUCUAGAGUUUCAAGGAUAUGAAUCCUAUUCUAUUCAAUUUGCCUUGCCAUUUGGUACUUUCCUUAUUAUAUACAGCAGACUAUAUAAGUAUUUCAAUAUCAAUAUUAUCUAAUUUUAAGGGUGUUAGCGGUAUUUUGGGUGCUUUUCUGACUUUUGACUUACCCUGUAUCUAUAUAUUACUUCAUUGGCACUUGUGAAAUUGAGAAUGUUUACAGCAGCUGUGCAGGUAACUUUUACAUGACCACUUUUUAAUGUUACAGUUCAAAUAGUUGUGUUCUAACUGCAGGCCAAAAGAAAAGAUUGACAAAAAAAAAACUUUUAUAAAUUAUAAUAUGUAUAUAUUUGUUUAAAAAUGUAUGUAUGUCCUGAUUUAUUUUUUACUGGUUUGAAUUUGGAAUUGCUUUGUAAACAUAUACUUUAUUGUUAUAAAUAAAGAAUUCUAUGCACUGCC
This is a non-coding RNA of Pelobates cultripes (western spadefoot toad), 2662 nucleotides long. The record is from the annotation of a GenBank genome assembly. NCBI's taxonomy places the organism in Eukaryota, Metazoa, Chordata, Amphibia, Anura, Pelobatidae.